Molecule: ribosomal RNA, 539 nt
Filed under: uncultured bacterium
Lineage: Bacteria
Description: bacterial SSU rRNA
Rfam family: Bacterial small subunit ribosomal RNA
Source: RNAcentral
GAUGAACGCUGGCGGCGUGCCUAAUACAUGCAAGUCGAACGAGUUCUGGUUUAUGAUGGCGGUGCUUGCACCAAUAGAUUAAACAUUUGAACGAGUGGCGGACGGGUGAGUAACACGUGGGUAACCUGCCCUAAAGUGGGGGAUAACAUUUGGAAACAGAUGCUAAUACCGCAUAAACCUCAAAAGCACAUGCUUUUGAGUUGAAAGAUGGCGUAAGCUAUCGCUUUUGGAUGGACCCGCGGCGUAUUAGCUAGUUGGUGAGGUAAAGGCUCACCAAGGCUGUGAUACGUAGCCGACCUGAGAGGGUAAUCGGCCACAUUGGGACUGAGACACGGCCCAUACUCCUACGGGAGGCAGCAGUAGGGAAUCUUCCACAAUGGGCGCAAGCCUGAUGGAGCAACGCCGCGUGAAUGAAGAAGGUCUUCGGAUCGUAAAGUUCUGUUAUUAGAGAAGAACACGUGUAAGAGUAACUGAUUAUGCGUUGACGGUAUCUAAUCAGCAAGUCACGGCUAACUACGUGCCAGCCGCCGCAGUAACAC